RNAcentral lists this transfer RNA (90 nucleotides) under Megamonas hypermegale. RNAcentral's name for it is "tRNA-Ser". It matches the Rfam family "tRNA". From Rfam's summary of the family: Transfer RNA (tRNA) molecules are approximately 80 nucleotides in length. The record is from RNAcentral. Lineage: Bacteria; Bacillati; Bacillota; Negativicutes; Selenomonadales; Selenomonadaceae. RNAcentral also lists the same sequence under 1 other name.
GGAGAGUUGUCCGAGUGGUUGAAGGAGCACGCCUGGAAAGCGUGUAUACGGGUUACCGUAUCGAGGGUUCAAAUCCCUCACUCUCCGCCA